Molecule: regulatory RNA element, 105 nt
Organism: Deinococcus peraridilitoris DSM 19664
Lineage: Bacteria; Thermotogati; Deinococcota; Deinococci; Deinococcales; Deinococcaceae
Rfam family: c-di-GMP-II-GAG riboswitch aptamer
Source: Rfam
GCUGAAUCGGGAGGCGCUGAAGUCCGCUUUGCCUCGCAACACCACAACUCUGCAUACGGUCACCUGAAGCGGAUGGAGCCACUGGUGAGACCGACCCGAGAAGGA